This 492-nucleotide ribosomal RNA is filed under the name uncultured bacterium. RNAcentral describes it as "partial 16S ribosomal RNA". It matches the Rfam family "Bacterial small subunit ribosomal RNA", at positions 29 to 507 of the family's 1533-position model. The record is from RNAcentral.
AGUGAACGCUGGCGGUAGGCCUAACACAUGCAAGUCGAACGGCAGCACAGUAAGAGCUUGCUCUUACGGGUGGCGAGUGGCGGACGGGUGAGGAAUACAUCGGAAUCUACUUUUUCGUGGGGGAUAACGUAGGGAAACUUACGCUAAUACCGCAUACGACCUACGGGUGAAAGCAGGGGAUCUUCGGACCUUGCGCGAUUGAAUGAGCCGAUGUCGGAUUAGCUAGUUGGCGGGGUAAAGGCCCACCAAGGCGACGAUCCGUAGCUGGCCUGAGAGGAUGAUCAGCCACACUGGAACUGAGACACGGUCCAGACUCCUACGGGAGGCAGCAGGGGGGAAUAUUGGACAAUGGGCGCAAGCCUGAUCCAGCCAUACCGCGUGGGUGAAGAAGGCCUUCGGGUUGUAAAGCCCUUUUGUUGGGAAAGAAAAGCAGCAGGUUAAUACCCCGCUGUUCUGACGGUACCCAAAGAAUAAGCACCGGCUAACUUCGUG